This 240-nucleotide ribosomal RNA is filed under the name Triticum aestivum (bread wheat). Its description in RNAcentral is "partial small subunit ribosomal RNA". The record is from RNAcentral. Lineage: Eukaryota; Viridiplantae; Streptophyta; Magnoliopsida; Poales; Poaceae.
AUGAUUUCUAUAACUGACUUUUCAAAAGCAUUGGAAGCUGCAAAAUAAAUUGCACUUGAGAUGGAUAUUCAUCCAGAGUUCCGCACCAAGCGGAAAAUCAAAAGAAGAAGACAAUUCAAUGAGGGCGCAGAUGAUGCAUCUAUUGUUUCACAAUCUGCUGAGGAGUCAUUAAGGGUCAAUUAUUUUCUGCAAGUGGUCGAUCAAGCUAUAGUUUCACUUACCAGGAGGUUUGAGCAAUAA